GUGCUCACUUCAGCAGCACAUAUACUAAAACUGGAACAAUAGAGAGAUUAGCCUGGCGCCUGCACAAGGAUGACACACAAAUUCGUGAAGUGUUCCAUACUUUU
RNAcentral lists this small nuclear RNA (104 nucleotides) under Phocoena sinus (vaquita). Lineage: Eukaryota; Metazoa; Chordata; Mammalia; Artiodactyla; Phocoenidae. The record is from RNAcentral.